UUUCCACACAGAGUCUGCCCCAGGCUAGACCACCCUAGGAAAAGUGAACAAGUCGCCUGAUUUGGCCUUCAGUUUAUCGAGGCCAGAAUAUGAAAGGCAACUCAGUCCUGGGGCUCGAGGGCAGCUUAACCUGGGAGGAAAAGUCCGCAGCUUCCUCUGUCUUGUGAUGUGAGGGGCUCUAGAGAGAGCCCCCAAAUGCCUCUCCCGCCAGCCUAUCCAAUCUUGCAUGAUGUCACCGAGUGGUUUUGUGGGAUCUUCAUGGAAUGUUAGAGCUGAUCCGGACCGUGCAAGAUUACACACUCAAAGCCGCCACUGUAUAGAGAAAGACAGAAGCUGAGACCCAGAAAAAGGAAGUCACAGGCCCAAAGUCAUACAGGUGGCAGCCGAACCAAGACAGCUCUUGGGUUUUCACGUCUGUCACUGUAAAAUGAAGGAGGUUAGAUUCGACGGACUCUGAAAGCCCAGCCAGCCGCGCCCUUACACAGAUAAAACCAUCACCACAUCUGUGGAAUGUUCUAGGGCCAGGCACUGCAUAAUUUUCUUCUUUAAUUUUUACAGCAAAGCUAUGAUAGUGUUGAAGCCAUGCCUGUAUUUAUACCCAGUCUAUCCAAAUAGGUUGAUUUGUAACAUAGUCUAUUUCUACAUAAAAUAUCAACGCAACUGCUGGAAGCCAUUCUGCUACUCGCAUCAUUUCCUUGGGUCUCAGGCCCUUUCAGCCUUUUAGGUGCUCCUGAGGCCAGGACCCUGGGGAGAGAGAAUGUUUUAGACUGCAGGGUUAGCUAGGCCCUGAGCAGCGUCCACACAUUGAACUGAGGUUUCUUAUGAAGUCACCCAGUGGAGGCAUUGCAGGUCUGGAGUUCAGGACAACAAUCAGAUGUCCCUUGGCCAUGGCACAGUUCCUAUAACCACAACCCUAGGCUGGCCCGAUCCAGCUGCUGCAGGAAGAGGAGGGAGAGCCCAGAGGAUCAGCACCCACAGCAAAGCUAUUGCACAACCCUUGGGGCUUGGCCUUGGGCGAUCCACCCUAGUUCUAAAGUUUUUUUCUGUGUAUGAUUCCUUCCUCUUCUGUUCCCUCCCCUCUUCUCAAGCUCUGGGCUGUCCCAGCUCCCAAAGUCAACACCGAGACCCCGGAUGUGUCCAGGGACAUCCUGACGAGGCCGAGGGGCUGAGGAGCCCUAGGGUGUUCCCAGGGAGAUUCCUGAAGCUGACUAGGAGCCAGUACAUUUGCCUGCUGUUUGCGAGUAGGAAGCAAGGCUGUCUUUGGCUAUUUCUACCUUGUGGACGAAGGAUCUCUGAGAGGAAGGCAAAGGAGCAUCUAUUACCGCCUACUAGAUGCCACACUGUACACAGCGACGUUGUUUUGGAAGGCAGGAUAAUUGAGGGGCUAGUGGCUUGUCUCUCUGGGGCAGGCAAAACCCCAAACCCGCCUGCGUGCUCCUUUCACUGCUGCCCUGGGGCCCUGCGCCUGCGCUCGUUACCAGCCUCUUCCUGCUUCCCUGGCCACCUCUGUUUCAGCAGAGUCCCCAUUACUAGCUAGGAGUACCUGGAGUAGGACAUAGGAUGCCUUAGAGGGCAAAUGACCCAGCCUCUGGCCUCCAGGUAGGGGGAAAUCCGAGCCAUCCCCAAACACCUUCUGCAUGGUGUCUGUGGAGUCUCCGAAAGAACCGUGCUGAGGGAGGGCUCUGAGGAAUGUCCCCUGAUGGUGCCACACAGUCCUGCCGAGAGCUGGCCCGGAGGCCCGAGGCGCUCCGAGCCGGCCAUCACAAAGCCGGGCUCCGUCUCGGCUCCACCUCCCAGGUUCUCUGUCAUCAUGGCCAAGCCACCUGCGCUCGCUGGGCCUCCGUUUCUGUGUGUGAAAUGGAAGAAGUCAGAUUAAACAGUCCCUAAGGUCCUUGUAGCCUAAAGCUCAGCGACUCACAGAAUCCAAAGAAAGGAGAGGUCAGCGUGGCUAUACGGCCAAGGAAGACGUUCUUCCCAGGACUUCCUGGGCACUGAGGGCUGUGACACGUGCUCCUGUGCGGCCGUGAGUAAGAGAGUCAUGGUCCCUGCCUUCCUUGGGCUUGCGGUCUCGUGGAGAAAGAGACGGGUAAACACGCAGUCAGAGAAGUGGUGCCGGGGUUUCAGCUGGGUCGAAAGCAGCGGGGAGGCCACUCGAGCUGCCAGUAAUGGGAGCAUCCUUUCUCUUCUGUCACCACCAGAGCAUCCUCUGAUCCUUCCCCGCCUUCCCCCCUGUUGCCAUGGAGACCACGAAUGGGACCGAGACCUGGUAUGAGAGCCUGCACGCUGUGCUGAAGGCUCUCAAUGCCACUCUUCACAGCAACUUGCUCUGCCGGCCGGGACCAGACCACCUGACUGAGGAGCGGCGGGCCGGCCUACCUGGGCGGGAUGACAACUCCUACAUGUACAUUCUCUUUGUCAUGUUCCUCUUUGCUGCCACCGUGGGCAGCCUCAUCCUGGGGUACACCCGCUCCCGCAAAGUGGACAAGCGCAGCGACCCCUAUCAUGUCUACAUCAAGAACCGCGUGUCUAUGAUCUGA
RNAcentral lists this long non-coding RNA (2537 nucleotides) under Sus scrofa (pig). RNAcentral describes it as "lncRNA (ENSSSCG00055025786.1)". The record is from RNAcentral. Lineage: Eukaryota; Metazoa; Chordata; Mammalia; Artiodactyla; Suidae.